UGCAAGUAUAAUUACUGAUUGGUCUUAUACUCCCAGCUUGCAAUGAUGAUGUGUGAUGAGUUAGCCAGAAGAACACUGAAGCUACAGUUUAUCUUGCAAAGAGGACUUUUGAUGAUGUCUACGCGUACCCAAUGCGCGAGAAGCUUUAAGAGAGAGUUUAGGCAAAGAAUAAUUGUGUUGUACUGCUCAAACACUAAUGUUCUCUUUGUCUUCAAUUUUCCUAUCAAAGACAAAUGUCCUCCAUCUUUUAUAUCUCAAUUCUCUAUGAUCUCUGUUAAAUCAACA
Molecule: non-coding RNA, 285 nt
Organism: Camelina sativa (false flax)
Lineage: Eukaryota; Viridiplantae; Streptophyta; Magnoliopsida; Brassicales; Brassicaceae
Source: RefSeq, a predicted model, not a curated record